This 5415-nucleotide long non-coding RNA is filed under the name Sus scrofa (pig). RNAcentral describes it as "lncRNA (ENSSSCG00055002446.1)". Lineage: Eukaryota; Metazoa; Chordata; Mammalia; Artiodactyla; Suidae. The record is from RNAcentral.
AUUUUUUUUUCUUUUUUUCCCCCUUUUUUGGCCACCCUUACGACAUAUAAGUUCCCAGGCCAGGGAUCAAAUUCAAGACGGAGCUGAGACCCAUGCCACAGCUGCAGCAAUGCCAUACCCUUAACCCAUUGUGCCAGGCUGGGGACUGAACCCAUGCCUCCACAGAGCAAGCUGGAUCAUUAACCCACUGCACCAUAGUGGGAACUCCCAGAAAUCUGCAUGUAAAAAUAAGUAUCCUUUGCCUACAGAGUUAUACAUACAGAGCAAGUCUCAAGCCAUGUGAAGCAAGCCCAGGUUUCUCCACACUAGCCAUUCAGCCACACGACUCUAUGCAGUGUCUCCUUUUCACCCACGUUCCAGAAUUCCGGGAGACAAGAGAAAAACAGCGAUCAACACCCCACAAACAGUCGAAUGUUAUUACCCAGGUACACUGAUCAACUUGAAAGGUCUAGGAUCUUACUCCUAUGCUACUUGUCCAAAUCACCAAGGCCAGAGAUGGUUUGUUUGGCUUUUGAAAAAGAUUAACGGCAACAAAGAAUGACAAUAAUAACAUAAGUCAAUCUGUUAAUUAUUCAAAAACAAACUCCAAAACAAUCAAUAGGUUAAUUUUACCACAAAUUCUACAAUAUUUAUUAUGAGGUUGGAGCUUUGGAGUCGUAACAGAAAGGUAGUGAAAAAAUUAAGCUGGUGAGAGACUGCUCGCAUAGAUCAACACCCAAAGUGAAAUGGGGUCUCGAGACUCAUUUAUGUAGUCAACAGAUUAAAUUCAAUCAACACUUACCAAUCAAUAUAACAAGAGCUUAUGUGGGGCUCAGACCGUCAAAAACAAACAAACAAAAACCAAAACACCUCAAACAAACCAAGAAGCCGUAUUUUAAAUGGCAGGCACCCCUUAAUGCGCAGCAUUACCUUUCAGGUCAGCAUUACCAGUGCCACCAGAAUCGGGCUCUGUGUGCAACUAUGCACUGAAAUGUUCAAUCUCCUCGAUACUGUCAUCAUCGUCAUCAUUUGCAUCCACCUCCUCCAGCCUCUCCCACACUGUAUUUUAACAAUGAAUUUUAUCUGUGUCCACUAUGUAAUUAAUAUUGGAGCACUGCGAAGGAAGAGAUCCUAUCUUGUUCAACCCUGUAUCUCCAAAUGUUUAGCAUAGCGUUGGCACAUAAGAAAUAAAUACAUGCUGAAUGAAUGAAAAUAUUCUACCUUUAAGGAAAAACAGGUUAAAAAAUCCAAUUUUUAGGUGUAGAGGGAACAUAUCAUGACUAUAUAUAAACAAAAAUAUAUUAAAGUAGAUCAUCUGCCUACAGAUUUCAAAUACAAUACAUGCUGAUGGUAGAAAAUGUACCCCCAUGAGGGGGCACUAUUGAGCUACCUCUCUCCGUUCACAUAUUAAGAGCAGGAAUGGGUAACAUUUAAAGGGUUUAAUGUGUGCCAAGCACUGUUCUAGGUGCUUUGAAUAUAAACCAAUUUAACCCUCCCAACCUCUGAGGUAGGUACUAUUUUUAUCUCAAUUUACCGAUGAGGAAACUAGGACGCAAAGCAGUGACAUAACUUGCUCAAGGUUAGAGACAGUAGAGCAGUGGAGGGAGCUAAGACACAAGUUGGACAAUCUGGCUCUAAACCCUGCUCUUUCAGUCACUACAUUACACUGUUUCUCUAAUGUUACUCAAUUCCUGCAUGACCGGCAACGGUAUCAGUGAGAGCUAAACUGAAAACAUCCCUUCAUUGUUGUAUUUGCAAAUCCAUAUCAUAAACAUUUCCUUGUUUGUAUGUCUGAUUUUAACUUUAAAAAAUCACAUCUGAAUUAUAUUAUCCAGAAGUACAAUUAAGAGUACAUUUAUAAAAUAACAGGUAUGGACCUCCGUCUAUACAGGCUUAGAGUUUAUUUUACAAGGUAGUGAACACGUACCAGAGUGCUAAAACUAAACAACACAAAAUGUAAAAAAAGGAAACAUAUCAAAAAUUGGACAAAAUUCACAGUUCGAAAAAAGUUUUUUAGUAGAAUCAGAUAUUAGCAUUUAAACAAAUGAAUACACUGCCAUAAGAAGGGCAUUAAAUCCCAUUACAAAAGUAAUUAUUACCUACCUCCUAAUAUACAGCACAGGAAACACUUGGAGCUCCCCGGUGACUGCAACAGUCACUGCUCAUGCAAUCACUGAGGCCUUGGUUCUUACCAGUUCUUCUAAUUAAACAGCAAGAGCUGCUUAAGACUAGUUUUUGCUUCUUAAAGCACAUUAAAAUGUGCCAGAAUAGACCCCUGAAGUUUAAAAAUUAAAACAAAUGAGUUAGGGAACGUCUAAUCCUUUAAUUACCUUAAUCAGUAAUUAAAAGAGAAUACUGUAAUGUUCCAGUAUUUGUACCUGAUAAAAUAAAAUUGGAGGCUAGAAACAAUGGAUUUAACAAAGAUUCUUAAAAGAAUUAAUACACUGAUACACAGCAUAACAAAAAAAUUUCACUAUAAUAACUGGAGAACAAAAAUUAAAAAAAAAAACGGAAUAAUGAAAAAAAUAGUGCUUACUUCUGCAUAAUGUUGACAUUUGGUUUUUUUGAAGCCAAUUGAUAAACAUUAAAGAAAAUACAACUUUAGUUCACUUUAUCCAAAAUACUCCGAAGAAAACUUGAAAAAUAACAUUAUUAGAAGGUACAAUACAAACAUGAAAGCUAGGAUGAUGGUAUACAAACUGGUGGGUAGGAUGGAUAACAGAACAUUUCACUGUAGUGCUUAACUUACGUUAAGUAAAAUAUGGAACAUGAUCCUGUCAAAACAAUGGUUUGAGAACCUUGUGUCAUAACAAAGUAAGGGAUCAGUAAUUUUCACUAGUUUGCAGAUAUACAAUUUACAGAGCUGAUUUUGAUACAGAUUUGAGAAUUCCAUCUGCAUCUUUUCUCAAGAAUUCUAGUUUCAUGUAUUUGUUUCCUAUAGAAGCUCCUGUUAUUAGAGGAUAACUGUCAAUGCAAAAACUUGUUUAAACAGCCUGAAGAGCGAGUGACAGAAGAGAAAGGAGCUAAGUCAAGCAGUUUUCCCUUUGCCUUUGUGUGUUCAAAAGGAUGAACAUGAACUUGAUAAAACCAGUGCCUCCGAGUGACUCAGCACAACCGAAAUGGGCAAAGGAGGGCUGACCCUCAGAUGCUCUGCCCAGGGCCCUGUGCCUCUCCUCCGGGCCCCCCCACCCCCUCAGGAUGCCUUUGCUGACAUCUGACCCGGGGGCUCUUGGGCCCCUCUUCUCUAGAAAAAUCAAGUAAGUCAUUAACACUUUUGUAUCAAUUACUUGGUCUCCCAAAAUUAUUGUUUAAUAGAACAUUUCUUUUCUUUCCUUUAAUAUUGUUAGUUCAGGAGUUCCCAUUGUGGCAUAGCGGAAAUGAAUCUGACUAGGAACCAUAAGGUUGCAGGUUCGAUCCCUGGCCUUGCUCAGUAGGUUAAGGAUCCAGCGUUGCUGUCAGCUGUGGUGUAGGUUGCAGACGCAGCUUGGAUCUGGCGUUGCUGUGGCUCUGGUAUAGGCCGGUGGCAACAGUUCCAAUUAGACCCCUAGCCUAGGAAUCUCCAUGUGCGGCGGGUGAGGCCCUAAAAAGACAAAAAGACCCCCCAAAAAAUAUAUGUUAGUUCAGUUUCAUCAUGAUAAUUUCUACCUAAUCUAAUUUUACUUGGGUCAGAUUGUGUUUUGCAUUAAAAUGUCCUCAUUGUUAAAAUGCUGGGUUAAAAUAUUCGGCUAUAAUUUUUUAAAAGUAAUUUUUAUUCAAUUUAUUCAAACUUAAAAAAAAGUUUAACCCACCUAGUCUUACACCCACCUCUUGCAACUAUCAAUUUGUUCUCUGUAUCUAUAUGGGCUUGUGUUUUUUGUUUUUUAAGAUUCUGCACAUAAGGGAGACCAUCUGGUAUUCAUCUUUCUCUGUUUGACUUAUUUCAUUUAGGAUAAUGCCCUCCCUCCAGGGCCAGCCAUGUUGUUGCAAAUGACAAGAUUUCAUUCUUUUUUAUGGCCGUGUGUGUGUGUGUGUGUGUGUGUGUGUCUGUGUGUGUGUGGCAAUUUCAUUACCCAUCCAUCCACUGAUGGGAACUCAGGUUAUUUCCGUAUCUCAGUUAGUGUAACUAAAGCUGCCAUGGACACAGGGGUGCAUACAUCAUUUCAAACUAGUUUUGUUAUUUUCUUCAGACAAACACCUGGAAGCAGAAUUGCUGAUCCUAUAGUAGUUCUAUUUUUAAUUAUCUGAGGAAUCUUUACACUGUUUUCCAGAGCGCCUGCAUUGUUGGUGGGCAUGUAAAUUGGCUUCCUUUUCUCCACCUCCUCACCAACAUUUGCUAUCUUUUAUUUUUUUGAUAACAGCCAUUCUAACAGGUGUGAAGCAACAGCUUGCUGUGGUUUUGAUUUGCAUCUCCCUGAUGACUAAUGAUGUGCAGCAUCUUUUCAUGUGCCUGUUGGUUGUAUGUCUUCUUUGGAAAAGUGUCUAUUCAGAUCUUCUGACUAUUUUAAAGAUGGAUUCUUUGUUUUUGCUUUUCAGUUGUAUGAGUUCUUUGUAUAUUUUAGAUUCAUCAGAUACAUGAAGUAAUAUUUCUGGUCAAGAUGUUCCACAGAUAGAAAGGCAAAUGACAGUGAUUGUCUAUUUCUCAAGGAAAAAAUUCUAAACAUAUUUCAGGUAUUUUUGAAAUUCAGAAACUUGAAGCCACGUAUUUCAUUCCCUACACAGCGUGUCACAGUCCCCAUGUGUUUCUGUGGUUUAAUAUGCUCUCCCUUUCCCUCUUGGAGGAUCUAAAAUUUAGAGAGAGGCAUGAAGAACAAUGCUAAAGGAGGAGUUUCAGCUCCUAGCAACACUGACUUAGUGACUUUUUGGACCUCUGACUCAAUACUAGCUGUGUCUGACCACUCAACCUAUUAACAAUAUUUCACUACUUUGCACAAGAGUAUACCAAAGAAAAUCAAUUCCUUCUAAAGAUAUACUGCACAAAGUUAUUUCCUUCUACUGAUUUAAUAUUCAUUAUGUUUUUAUUAUUAGCACCAAUAAAUAUUCACACUUGCUGACCUUUAUUUAGUGCAUUAUGUGAUACAAGGCAGACGAAGAUUUUAAUUUAAAUAUGUCAUAUAAAAUAAAAAUUCAAUUACUUAUUUUUAUUUCCUGCAGUGUCUAAAACUGCUGAGUAGACCUGGCAAGCUGAGGAAAGACUGGGUUCAAAGACUUUUUUUGUGAAAAUAAGUAAUGUAGGAGUUCGCGCUGUGGCUCAGUGGUAACGAACCCAACUAGAAUCCAUGAGGAUGUGGGUUUGAUCCCUGGCCCUGCUCAGUGGGUUAAGCACUGCCAUGAGCUGUGUGGUAUAGGUCACAGAUGCGGCUCAGAUCCUGAACUGCUGUGGCUGUGGCUGUGGCUGGAGCAUAGGCCGGCAGCUGUAGCUCUGAUGUGACCCCUAGCCUGGGAACUUCCAUAUGCCAU